GGCGAACGGGUGAGUAAUACAUCGGAACGUGCCUAGUAGUGGGGGAUAACUACUCGAAAGAGUAGCUAAUACCGCAUGAGAUCUACGGAUGAAAGCAGGGGACCUUUGGGCCUUGUGCUACUAGAGCGGCUGAUGGCAGAUUAGGUAGUUGGUGGGGUAAAGGCUUACCAAGCCUGCGAUCUGUAGCUGGUCUGAGAGGACGACCAGCCACACUGGGACUGAGACACGGCCCAGACUCCUACGGGAGGCAGCAGUGGGGAAUUUUGGACAAUGGGCGAAAGCCUGAUCCAGCAAUGCCGCGUGCAGGAUGAAGGCCCUCGGGUUGUAAACUGCUUUUGUACGGAACGAAAAGCCUGGGGCUAAUAUCCCCGGGUCAUGACGGUACCGUAAGAAUAAGCACCGGCUAACUACGUGCCAGCAGCCGCGGUAAUACGUAGGGUGCAAGCGUUAAUCGGAAUUACUGGGCGUAAAGCGUGCGCAGGCGGUUUUGUAAGACAGUGGUGAAAUCCCCGGGCUCAACCUGGGAACUGCCAUUGUGACUGCAAGGCUAGAGUGCGGCAGAGGGGGAUGGAAUUCCGCGUGUAGCAGUGAAAUGCGUAGAUAUGCGGAGGAACACCGAUGGCGA
RNAcentral lists this ribosomal RNA (625 nucleotides) under beta proteobacterium DCo04-79. Its description in RNAcentral is "bacterial SSU rRNA". It matches the Rfam family "Bacterial small subunit ribosomal RNA", at positions 97 to 718 of the family's 1533-position model. The record is from RNAcentral. Lineage: Bacteria; Pseudomonadati; Pseudomonadota; Betaproteobacteria.